Molecule: ribosomal RNA, 2950 nt
Filed under: Triticum aestivum (bread wheat)
Lineage: Eukaryota; Viridiplantae; Streptophyta; Magnoliopsida; Poales; Poaceae
Description: partial small subunit ribosomal RNA
Source: RNAcentral
GAAAAGUAGGGUGUAGGUAGGUAGGUGGGUGGGUCGGUGCGCAACACAGGGUGGGUGGGUCGGUGCGCACCUCUCUCUCUCUCGCUCUCAGAGGAGGAGGGGAAGGUCUAGCGGCGGCGGUGGAGAGGGAGCGCGGCGGUGGUCGUGGUGAGGAAGGCUCGCGCACGGCGGGUAGCAGGAGGAUAGGAGGAUAGAGCGGCGGGUAAGUAGGCUCGGGCUGCUGCGGUCUAGGCGCGCGUCGGGUAGCAAGACGUGGAGGGCGUCGUCUAGGUCCCGUGACGGCUUAGAGUGACAGCUGUCUACGUGGCGGCGGGACGUCGGAGCCGCAGCGCCAGCCGACCGAGCGGUGGCGCGCGCACGAAGUAACGCGCGGCGAGGCAGCUCGACCUAGGAGCCUUCCGGCGGCAGGUGGAGCGCGACAUCCCUCCCCAGGUAGCAGAGGAGCCUCCUCCCCUGCCGGUACAAACAACAUGAGGUGGGAUCGUCAGCUAGGGCCAGCAAACGACGAAGUGGUCGGAGGAGGAGAUCGUAGAGGCGUUCCCGUGGGCUGCUGUCCGUCCAGCAGCUGCGCGACCUGGAGUUCCGGCCAACACGACGAGGAAGACGGAUGCAGAAAGGAGCUGUUGCAGGGGCUGGACGUAGGUCGACGAGGAAGGGGUCGGGAGGAGUUGAAGCGAGGCCCACUCGAAGACAUCUUCUUUUUCCUCUUGCCCGUUGUACCUCUUUCUACGCCACGACCACACGUACCAGGACCCGAAAGACCCGAGGCAGCGCCAGUGGGAGCCGAAGCAGCGGUUGUUGAUGUCGAGGUUCAUGUUGCCCUGCUUGACGCACAUGGCCUCGGGCGGCCGCUGCCUAGAGCCGUAGGACCCCCACAAGGACCACAAGUAGUUGGUCCAGUAGGAGCGGCGGAUACGGUCGCCGACCACGGAGACGUACACAACGACGACGGGGACGACCUGGUUCGCGGCGGCCGACCACGGUUGUGGCAGGUUCACCUUGGGUCAUAUCUCAAGCCUGCGACUAAAUUGAUCAAUUUUGGACAGGUAAUAAUUGAUUGGGUACAAAGAACUACCACAAAUAGAGGUACCCUAUAUUUUACACAGUUACAAUUAUAACGUGAUCAGGAACAACGAGACAACCGCAAUCAAUGGAAGAACAGUGUAAGAGGGAGGUAGGCUGUUAUAUUCUGCAAACACGUUCGAUUGUAAUGAACGUUUUUACUGAAUGUAAUACCCUGCCUCCCUCAUUAUCUUCCACUUAAGAAUAUGUGAAAAUUCAGGACAAUUAUUCAUAAGUCCCCCCGUAUAAGCAAAGUACUUAGUAGAUAUUUAUAGUAAGUGCACCAUGACCCAGUCAAAGAUCGAUGGUAAAGAUAUGUGUAAUAGACACACAACCGCGAUCAUCAAAGUACUGAACGAUAAGAAUAAGUUCACCCGCUUGAUUCAGUAAAAAUAAGUCAAACACAAGACGAUACGGUUUCGGUCUUUAUACUGGUUGUGAUGUGAAAAGUGGUGAGGUGAGGGAGGGUACGUUUUAGUAGAAGAGUCGAGAGUGGGCAGCUGCCCCUUAAAAGGUUAGCUGUGAAGUAAAGCAAUGAUCAUGCAUAAUGUGUGUGUACGAGGUGUCGUUUAGGUUGACGUAAGAGAACAGUUAAAUCCUGACCAUUCAUCCACGGCGACUCAAACUCACUCACCAUUUGUCAUAUCUCGAGCCUGCGAUUAGUUCAACUAAAUUGAUCAUCUACAGAUCUAAUUUGGACAGGUAAUAAUUGGGGACGAGGAACUACUACAGCUACAGGUGUAGGUGUUAUACAUUUGCACAGUUACAAUUAUAAAGUGACUAGGAAUGAUAAAACAACCGGAAUCAAUUGAAAAACAGUAUAUUAUUUUUACACUAGAGCAAUAUGUUAAAACCCAACACAGUUAAUUAUCAAACCUUUCGGAUGUUCGGGAGAAUAUCAAUUGAUUUUCCAACAACUUGUAAAAAUUGUUGACUGACAACCUGUAAGGGUACGACAUGCAGUGACUAAUACAUGUUGAACCAUGUUUUAACCAGACUAUAAUCAGAAUAUAGUGUUUUCAUCCCUCCAAGGACGACGAAUAAUCAUAGCCGAAACCUAAUAAUGUCACAAACCAAGUGGUGACAUGACUAAUAGAACCACUCGUAGACAAAUUAUUGACCUUAUGUAACAGACGACCCUUAAGAUAAAUGGAAACGCAUGAUGAGGGAGGCAGGCCUUUAUGAACAGUAGUUUUACUUAUUUUCCUCUACAUAGAUCUACAUAAAAUCAAAAUAUAUGUAGGGAAAAGCAGGUAAAACUCCUGUUCAUAAAAGCCUGCCUCCCUCAUAAUGUUUACAGACACUCCCAGGAAACACGAUGAUCAUAUUAAAGUAAGUACUUAAGACGUGUAUCUAAAAAGUAGGACGAUAUUUUAACGAACACGUACUUAGACAAACGACAACAAUCAGUCUUCAGCUAAUAAUGACCACACAAGUCCUAAGAUAAAGACAGUAGAUUUUAUACACAAUUAAGACUAUGUCGUAUUUCUCGAUACACUCGGGAGGACCUACCCCGAAUACAACCUGGAGACUAACUCGAGGGGUAUCUGAAACUGGGUUCGUAGGAGCACUGUCCCAAACAGCCUUGGCGGUAGCGAAAUCCCACGAAGAGGCCGCGGCGGUAGUAGUGGUUCGCGUCGAGUUCUUGCGUCCACUGUUCUUCUCCUUCUCCUCCAGGACUUGCAAAGAGGACGUGUAGCAUCUACGGUGGUGGCACCGGAACAUCCUUAAUUCGACCGCAACACGGUGGGAACACAUAGACAAAAACUAACAUACAUCUUCAACCUGCACGUAUGCACAUAAACGAGAACACUCAUAAACUGACCUACAAGAGACCUAAAUUAGUCAAUUAACUGUCUAAAUAACUAUAAAACAACAAGUUUACACA